CUCUGAUGAACUGAAACGACUGCAGCCUUUUUGUGCUAAACACCUCAUGAACACAGAUCUUGCGUACCUCCCUCCAGUAAUCGCCGUAUGGCGCAAAACCUAUGUCUUGGUGAUUGUAUGAGAAUUUUCCAAGUCCAACUAAGGGAGGUCGACUGCAACAAUCAAUAUCAUGAGUUUUCAAGAAUUCCCUUGCAGCUUCCGCAGAGGAGACUACGACGGUAGGGACACCGAGCUGAAGGAGUAUGAUGGGGCCAUAUUUCUUAGAUAGUUGCCACCAAGAGUAGUGAGGCAACGUACCAAGUUGGUGCAAAUUACCUAUAAUGGGAAGCUUAGUAGGGCCAGGCGGCAGCGGCUUCUUUUGCCCCUUCAACUCUAUUCUCCGUUUUAUGAGAUACAUAAGAGGGAGAAGCAGCAGAAGCAGAUGAAGCCACAUCGAUGGGGAAUAGAGUGCCAUAGGAACUUGCUAGCUCUAUUAAUCUUAGGUGGGUUGUAGAUACACUACAAAAAGAUACUUUUAUAGUUGCGGUCCUAUCCUGCAGCUAAAAUUAACAAAAAAUUGUGACCAUAUAAAAUUUAGAUAGGGAUAAAAUAGAGCAAAGCUUAGUCAUAGACCAUAGAGGGUGCAGACAAAUCCUAUGGCUGUAGCCACUUAUAUAAAACUGCCAGUAGAAGAAGUUAAAAAUUAUUAAUAGGCUAUACAGGGUUGCAGUUUUCUCUUGGCUGCUACCAUAAGGCUCAUAGGAUGCACUUUUCUUGGCCCCUACUAUAGCUAAUUUAUGUGGACAUAAUUUAUUCACUACUAUAGAUCUUUAUUUUUAUUUAUUUAUUUUUUUCAAUGCCUUUUCCUAUUUAUCAAUUAAAAUAUUUUCAAGAGGAAAACCAAUAUCCGAACACAUUUACACACACACAAUUGCCAAUACUUUCAACGUUAAUUGAAAAUAGAAAAUGCAAAAGACUUUGAUGAGCUGUUUUGCUGAACCACUGGCAAAAAGUAGUAAGCGAGCACUUGUGAGCAUCAAUUGCAAGGUAGGCACUUGCCAUUUCUCACCAGCCUGAGAUGCACUCACAAAUGGUUUUUGGUGUGUGCAGGAUGAGCCAUCACUCUAAUGCUAGAAGGCAUUCUUGAGGUUUCUCACCACCAUGUCCUUUCCUCUUUCAGUUCGGUGUCCCGCUGAUCUGAUCUUCAGACAACACCAAGGUUCAGUCUGCGAAGUAAGGGACUCACCAAUGUUUCCUUCAAACAAGACAAAAAGAAACGGAAAUGGAUCAUUCUGCCUUUUCAUUUGUGUUUCUACGUAUGACUCGUGGUGAUCACCUGAUGGAAUUUGAUCAUUCAGCGAAUCUCAUCGAAAACGGUUUCACAGUUCAGGGGAUUAUUGGUAACUUUGGAAUUAAAGUCUAUUAUUUUAAGCCCUUUCAGUAUUUAUAGUCAAAGCAAAAGAUGAAAGGAACAACAUGAUAUCUUCAGCUUCAGCUUUUACUUUUGCUCUUGACAAGGCUGAAACUGAUCCUGGAAUCAAAACUCACAUACACAAGUAGAUAUUUAACAGGAAAGGAUCCAAAUCCCUUCAAUUGAUUAAUGUAUAAAUGAAUCAUAUUGAUUGUUUGAAGUGACAACAAAAUUCUGGAAGAGGAGAAAGUUUGACACUGGAGAGCAACAAAAUGACAAGACCAUAAAUAAAUUUAACACCAAGUGCUACUGCCCCAAGAUAUCUAUGAUGCAUCUCUGAAAAAUUCAGAUAAUGGUCAAGAAGGCAGGCUCAUGGGACUAUCAAAUAACCAUUUGAUUUAAGAUUAAAAUAUUUUUCAUAUUUAGGCUCCAAGAAAAUUAAAAUAAAUGAAUAAAUCGUGAUGAUAAUUAAUAAAUAAAGAAAUAGAAAAUCAUCCAUAAAAUGUUAUUUGCAAAUAUUUCACAAAUUGAAAAAUUCUAUGCAAUUUGAACGAUUACUUGGUGAUCAUGCCGAAGUAAGCAAUGAGAAACUAUAUGUAAACUACUAAACAAAAAUAGAAACAGAACCUGCUAAGUAGAAACAAGUGUUUUCCGCUAGGAAACACAGGCCAAAAGAAAAAAGGGGAAAUGAUUCAAAAAUCAAUUACGAAAUAAGUGAUGUAGAGGCAAAAGGGACCUAAUGGGCCUCAUAUGCAUAUCCUUGGAAACAAAAAAUUUAUCUUUCUACAUAGUCUAAUGAUAAACAACAUAUUCACCCACCUCUCAUAGGAGGUGGGGCAGUUGUAUAUUGUCUCCACAUACACCAAACCUGUUUCUUGAUCACUAGAAUAAAUAGGAGGCAAUUAAUCAAGGCAGGUAAUGCAAAUCCAGACAAUAGAGUAAGACUGGAAGAUAGAGCAUACAUGUAAUUGAGAAAAGUGUUGUAGUUCUUGUCCACCUGAAUGCCAGCUAUUCAAGUACGGUAGAUGUUGGCCUUCAUCUCUAAAUUAUAAACAGAAAUGAGAUGGUGUUUGCUCUUCUUCUCCUACAAUGGACCUAGUUGUUUAAGAGACAUGGAGAUAGCUAGAUUUGGUAUAUACAGCUGUGUUUGGUUUUGUCUAAAUGGAAGUAAGAUAAGUCAAUGAGAUUUUCUAGAUAACAAUUGUUUUUCUUGGUGUUUUGAAUACAUUUCCUAUAUCAUAUAAGCUGAGUAAAAAUCUAGAAGAAGAAAGCCAACAAAAUUAUGUUGUACAAGUUGAUGCUACAUUUGGAUAUUAUUGCUUUAACGAUAAGUUUUGUUGUAAUAAUUAUUUCCUAACGAGAUGGGUAGGACUCCAGUUUGAACAUUGGGCUCUACCAACCCAACAUCAAGUCCAUGGGCAACUCGGGUCUCUAUGGGUUCUUAUAGGUUUUCGCAUCAUACCAAGAAAGUAAUUAUUUUAAAAUUUAUAUCAUGUAAAUCAUAUUAUCAAAAAAAAUGUUAAAACUAAUCUAUUUCGUAAUUAUUUUUAAAAACAGUUCUAGAAAACAAUUUUUAACAACUAUUCUUUGAUGUUUUAUAAAGUAAAAAUUUGUUUAAAUAUCUAAAAUAAAUUUUAAAAUAUGUUUUUUUUUAAUUUAAAUAUGUUUUUAAAAUAAUUUUUAUAUUUAAUAUUUUAUUUUUAAUCAUUCUACAUAUUUAUAUAAUUAUUUAAAAAAAAAUUGAAAACAAUUAAAAAAUAUUAUUUAAAAACACAAUAAAAAAUAAAAAAUAAAAACAAAUUUCUAAUUACCAAGUGUGUUCUCAAGAACAUAAAACUAUUUUUGAAAACAUAUACCCAAAAAACCCUAAAUAACUCAAAAUCAUAAAAUAUAUGUGUUAGUUUCUAAUUUAACAUAAAUAAUAAUCCAUAAAUUCAAAUUUCAAAGACCAAAGUUAAUUUAACAAUUAAAAAAAGUAAUAAAUCCAUUAAUCUAAAAUAAUUAAUAAAAAGCAAUAAGUCACUUCCUAUGAUAACUAAAAAGUGAUAAAUAUAAUUUAAUUUUAAAUAAUAAUAAUAACAAAUAAAUAAACAAUAAUCACCUUUAACAUAUGACAAAUUUUACUCUAAAAAGAGCAUUUGAUGAAACUAAAAUUAAAUUAUAUUUAAGUUGUUAAAUUAAAACUUAUUAUUUAAUUUUCAUUUUAAAUAUUAAAAUUUUUUGAUAAAAUUAUUUUAAAAUUUAUUUUAAAUCAUCAAAUUAACAUAUUUAUCCUCAUAAAUUAUAAUUAGGGUAAAGAAAGUCAAAUAAUAAUAAAGGUUGUGGAGUAACGAAAAAAAUCAUAGAGAUAAUUAAGAUAAAUCAUAAUAAAAAAAUAAUAAUAAAGAUGUAAACUUAAUAAUAAUUAAUUGUUUUUAUUUAUUAUUUAAAAUUAUUUUUUAUUUUAAGUUAUUUUAUCAAUUAUAUUUAAUGUAUUUAAUUACUUAUAAGUUGUAACUCGUAACACAGACACCCACUAAAUGGGAUUUUUGAUAAAAGUAUGACAGUUUUAAAAAAUUAUUCCUAAAUUACCGUAGUAGAAAAAAUAAUUCCAAAUUUAUGGUAAUUUUGUUCAAAUAGAAAAGAGAAAAUAAUUUGUAAAUGAAAAAUAGUCUCUUCAAAAAAUAAGUAAAUCGUAUCUUGAGAAAUGGUUUUUUAAAAAAGUGAGACAUCCUCUUUUAAAGAGACGAUUUAAAAAAAUAAUAAUAAAAAAAUUAAAACAAGUGAGAAAUUGUAUCAUUAAGAGGCACGAUUUCCAAAUAUAUAUAUAUAUAAUUCUCACAAAAAAAAAAAAAAGGAAAAAAACAAACAAGAUUUUGUCUCUUCAAAACACGAUUUCCACACAAAAAGUGAUUAAAAAAACCCCAAGUGGGCAGCACAAAAGUGAGAAGAGAGUAUUUUGGCCUUUCCAAGCUUGAAAAAGAGCACCCAACUAGGCUUUUCGUCUACAUUGGUAAUACGUUGAAUGCAAGUGUUAGGAAUGGGUUUCGAGGAUUUUGGUUGAUUUGUUUUGUAAGGGUAGUUUGAUACCAGAGCUUCAGGAUCCAGGGACUUGGAAGAAGUUGAUGAAGAGGUUGAGGAAGGAUGGGAGGAUUAUGGUUAAUGUUGGAGGGAGUUGUGUUGAGGCAAAGGAUUCAAGGAGAGAUGGGAAGGUGGUAAUGGAGGAAUCAUUGAAGGCAAUGCAUAAGGUCUUUGGUGAUCAGUCUUUGUUUUGAAUCUCGGAAACAGGAAGGAGGAUAGCUCCAUUGCUCUCACCGGCAAAUUGUCGGAUCUUGAUGACUGGAAGAAAGUUCUUCCCUAAUCUUUAAGGUUUUAUGUGGAUGUGGAUGUGGACGCCCGUCAGUUCCAAGUGUGACUGUUUCCAUUAACCACUCUCUGAGAAGAAGCAUUCAGGAGCAGUCUACUGAUGCAAUUCAUAUAUUUGUGUUUAUUCCUGUUAGAAGCAAUGUUUUUUUUUUCCCCGGAUUGUGCAAAGCUUAUUUAUGAGGUUUGAAUUUUUCCCCCACCUAAAAUCAUCCUCUCUUUUGUCUCUUUGUUCUCGAUUGGUUCAUUAGGGCAUCUAAGUAGUAAGGGAGUCAUAUGAUUGUAAAAUAGAUUUAUAAUAUAUUUUUAUAUUAAAUUAUAUUAAUUUUUUUAUAAUAUAUAAAUAAUUAAUUGUAUUAUAAUAUAUAUUAAAUUUUAUUUUUUUUAUUUUUUAAAUUAUCUCUUGAACAGACAAUCUCCAAUUGUUUAAUUUAAAUUAUUUUUUGGAAAUCGUGCUCUUUUCUUCAAAAUGAAAUUUCUCAUUCUUAGUAAUUUGGAAAGAGAUUUUUUUUUUUAAAAAAAAAAAGGGUCAUAAAUUUGAAGAGACUAUUUAAAAAAAUAUAUAUCUCUCCCUCCUACCUAACAAAAUCUAUCAUAGAUUUGAAAUUAUUUUUUUUAUUAUGGUAAUUUAAAAAUUAUUUUUUAAAAUUACGGUACUCUUGUCAAAAAUCCCCCUACCAUUCUAAGUUGACCGGUCGGUUUAAGUCAUGGGUCCUAUUUUCUUGCCUUCUCCUAUUGCAGCAUUGCACCACGUGACAUCUCCUUUUCUUUCUACCAGGUCCUUUUCCUAUCUGCAACGAUUUUCAUCAAUUUCAAUUUGGCCACAGAUAGUGCAAACAUUUUAAUAUUUUUAUUCUUUUUAUAUGGGAGAGAAAAGGGGAGAAAUAAAUUAAAUAAGUAUGUAAAAAUAAAUAAAUUUAAACUUCUUUUUAUUUUUCUACUUUUCUUUUCUUGUUAACAGUGAUGGAGAAUUGGCACAAGGUUAAGAGCAAACUUCUUACGGACAGUAAGGCCUGCUGCUUCUUCCAUGCUAAUAUCUGUCUCCUUCAUCCCAUUCGGCAAGUUCCAAUUGAAACGAUAUAAAAGAUUAGCAAGUGCGAGCUCCACUGUUGCAAUCGCCAUAUACAUACCCGGGCAAAUUCUUCUUCCCGCUCCGAAAGGCAGUAGCUCAAAAUGUUGUCCUCUAAAAUCUACAGAGUUGUCCAUAAACCUCUCGGGCAAAAACUCCUCUGGGUUCUUCCAGAGGUUGGGGUCUCGCCCAAUUGCCCAAACGUUUACGUGGACUUGGGUUUUCGGGUAAAAGUGGUAUCCGUUUAUCUCAAAAUGUGACAUGGUUUCUCUUGGAAGUAGAAGUGGGGCGGGAGGAUGCAGUCUCAAAGUUUCUUUGACCACCAUCUUGAGGUAGUGAAGCUGAUCGACAUCACCCUCCGUGACUUUUCCUUUAUUUCCAAUGGAGUUUCUAACUUCAGCCUGGGCUUUUUUCAUUAUUCUUGGGUUCCUAGCAAGCUCGGUCAUUGCCCAAGAUACGGUGAUUGCACCAGUGUCCACUCCAGCCAAGAAUAAAUCCUGAGGCACAUGUUAAAAGUAAGCAAAAGAACGCUUUAGUUCCAAGUAUACCAAGCUAAGCAUUAUGCCAUUCUUGGCUCAAAGAACCCAAGACGCAAAGUCAAAUUAAAUGAUUAUCGAUUGCCCCUUUUGUAGAUAGCUCCAAGGCAUUCUACGUAAUUUUGCGCCUUCCUCCUCCUCCGUCUCUCUCUUUCAAUGCUUUCAUAAUCAAACCAAGUCUUUAAAUAAAAAAAAAUAUUGGUUCAUAAAUUACCGGUCAAACCAGUAGGUAAACCACGAUGUAACGGGUAACAUUAUAAAUAUAUUAUUACAUAUUAUUAAAAUUAAAAAUAAUUAUAAAAAAUUAUAUAUAUAAUAUUUAAAUGUGAAUAUAUUAAAAAUGAAAGAAAAAUUAUUUAUUUAAUUUUAAUUAAUUUUAUAAUUUUAGAAAAUAUUAUAUGUUUUAUUUAAUAUUAUAAAUUUUUUUAGUAAAGAAUAUAUUUUUUUUGUUUGCCACAUGAAGGAACAAGUCGGAUGUAGUGGGGUGGUCUCUUAACUCAUUUAACGAGUUUAAGGUCCCAGCCCCUUUAAUGAUAUAAAUUGAGGGUGGGGAACUGGGCUUUAAUGAUAAAAAGGGAGGGAGGCAGAGGGAGGUGGACUCGGCCUGUUUCAACGAAUAAAAAGGGGUUACAUUGAGCUAUUAUUAAGCUUUCAAAAUGGGGAGAAACUCAAAAAAGAAAAAAGAAAAAAAUGAGACGGAAAAAAGGAGUAGGUUGGUGACUUACCAUAACGAUUGCUUUCGCGUUAUCUUUAGUAAACUGUAGGGCACUGGAUUCAGAUUGUUCCCUCUCUAUUCUCAGCAGCACGUCGAUGAUGUCUUCAUGCUCCUCUUUCACCCUUCCUGGGUUGAGAUGGUCUUCGAUCACCUGUUGGUAGAAGCCGUCCAUUUCAUGGAAACUCCUCUCAAGCCUUCCAUGAAGACCAGUGAGUCUAUCCACAAUCCGACCCACGUACGGAAAGAAAUCGGCUGCAGUGAGCCCGCCCAACAAAGCCAUGGCUUCAUGAACCACUUCUUGAAAUCUUCCGUCACCAAACUCACUCGCUUGAAAACUCUUUCCGAAUGCAAUCCUACAAAUUAUAUUUGCUGUGAGAGACAUUAGCCUCUCGGUAAGAUCAAUAGGACUUCCAGAAGAAGACGAUUGCACAAUUGAAUCAAUCAGCAAAGCGACCUCCUCUUCUCUGAUGAACUGAAACGACUGCACCCUUUUUGUGCUAAACACCUCGAGAACACAGAUCUUGCGUACCUCCCUCCAGUAGUCGCCGUAUGGCGCAAAAGAUAUGUCUCGGUGAUUGUAUGAGAAUUUUCCAAGUCCAACUAAGGGAGGUCGACUGCAACAAUCAAUAUCAUGAGUUUUCAAGAAUUCCCUUGCAGCUUCCGCAGAGGAGACUACGACGGUAGGGACACCGAGCUGAAGGAGCAUGAUGGAGCCAUAUUUCUUAGAUAGUUGCCAUAAAGAGUAGUGAGGCAACGCACCAAGUUGGUGCAAAUUACCUAUAAUGGGAAGCUUAGUAGGGCCAGGAGGCAGCGGCUUCUUUUGCCCCGUCAACUCUAUUUUCCGUUUUAUGAGAAAC
Molecule: long non-coding RNA, 7909 nt
Filed under: Vitis vinifera (wine grape)
Lineage: Eukaryota; Viridiplantae; Streptophyta; Magnoliopsida; Vitales; Vitaceae
Description: long non-coding RNA (VVIN_LNC000112)
Source: RNAcentral